Molecule: long non-coding RNA, 565 nt
Organism: Quercus robur (English oak)
Lineage: Eukaryota; Viridiplantae; Streptophyta; Magnoliopsida; Fagales; Fagaceae
Exons: 4
Source: RefSeq, a predicted model, not a curated record
CUUGCAAACCUCAUCCCACCUGCCAAGCAGAGGAAAUAGGCACUGUCACGGAUUGGGAAUUUGUGAAGGGGCCACAAAACAGAGUUGAAGGAGAACUACUACAAACCGAGCAUUCCUAAGGAAGCUUUACUUGAGCUAUCACUGCCGGAGGUUGAUGACAAUCAAUUUCAUGUGUUGGUGGAGUACUGGUUUUCUCAGAAAGGCGUGGACCUGUCUAAAGAUAACAAAGAGCGGCGUGCAAAGUAGACAAAGCUGCAUACGCUGGGAUCCAAAAGCUAUGCCCAGACGGUGGAUAGCAUUGCAAACAAGAAUGGCAAGCAAAUAGAGAGAGGUGAGAUGUAUGAAGUGACAUAUUCUCACAGUGAUGGUACUGCUGUGAAUGAAAUUGCGGAAGCAAAUAUUGAUGGUACUAGCAGAAAUGAAGAGGACAACUCAAACAAUAACAAGGAGGUCGAAAACAGCUUGGAGGGUGAUUCAAAGGAAGACUAAUAUAGAUCUUGUCAUAAUUCUAGUUGUUUAAGUUUAAAACAAGGUUUAAUUUCAAGAUUUCUUUGUAUAUUCUAUA